CCAAUUUAUUUAAUGGGAGGGUGAGAACCCUCGCGGGUUCGACAAAUUAGUCGGGAGCAAAUUUGAACCGCGCGUUGCGCGGGCCCGGAGGGCGAAGUACAGAUACAUACGCAGUAAUCCCUCCCUCCGCCA
Molecule: small RNA, 132 nt
Filed under: Gammaproteobacteria bacterium
Lineage: Bacteria; Pseudomonadati; Pseudomonadota; Gammaproteobacteria
Description: RtT sRNA
Rfam family: RtT RNA
About the family: This family represents a bacterial cis-regulatory element known as RtT RNA. The exact function of RtT is unknown although it is thought that it may be involved in changing the cellular response in relation to amino acid starvation.
Source: RNAcentral